This 448-nucleotide ribosomal RNA is filed under the name uncultured bacterium. RNAcentral's name for it is "bacterial SSU rRNA". It matches the Rfam family "Bacterial small subunit ribosomal RNA", at positions 260 to 704 of the family's 1533-position model. The record is from RNAcentral.
AUGGCUCACCAAGGCGAAGACGGGUAGCUGGUCUGAGAGGAUGAUCAGCCACACUGGAACUGAGACACGGUCCAGACUCCUACGGGAGGCAGCAGUGGGGAAUAUUGCGCAAUGGGCGAAAGCCUGACGCAGCCACGCCGCGUGAGCGAUGAAGGUCUUCGGAUCGUAAAGCUCUGUGGGGGGAGAAGAAGAAAGUCGGUGAAGAGCCGGCCCUGACGGUAUCCCCUUAGCAAGCACCGGCUAACUCCGUGCCAGCAGCCGCGGUAAUACGGAGGGUGCAAACGUUGCUCGGAAUCAUUGGGCGUAAAGCGCGCGUAGGCGGCUGAACAAGUUGGAUGUGAAAGCCCUGGGCUCAACCUAGGAUGUGCAUUCAAAACUGUUCGGCUUGAGUCUCGGAGGGGGUCAGAGAAUUCUCGGUGUAGAGGUGAAAUUCGUAGAUAUCGGGAGG